RNAcentral lists this ribosomal RNA (449 nucleotides) under Salmonella enterica. RNAcentral describes it as "partial 23S ribosomal RNA". It matches the Rfam family "Bacterial large subunit ribosomal RNA", at positions 1667 to 2111 of the family's 2925-position model. The record is from RNAcentral. Lineage: Bacteria; Pseudomonadati; Pseudomonadota; Gammaproteobacteria; Enterobacterales; Enterobacteriaceae.
GCGAGAAGAGAAUUCUAAGGCGCGCGGAAGAACUCUCGUUAAGGAACUCGGCAAAAUGACCCCGUAACUUCGGGAGAAGGGGUGCCCCGGUAGUGUGAAUAGCACGAGGGGGCCGCAGUGAAAAGGCCCAAGCGACUGUUUAGCAAAAACACAGGUCUGUGCGAAGCCGUAAGGCGAAGUAUACGGGCUGACGCCUGCCCGGUGCUGGAAGGUUAAGGGGAGCGGUUAGGAGCAAUCCGAAGCUGUGAACCGAAGCCCCAGUAAACGGCGGCCGUAACUAUAACGGUCCUAAGGUAGCGAAAUUCCUUGUCAGGUAAAUUCUGACCCGCACGAAUGGCGUAACGACUUGGGCGCUGUCUCAACGAGAGAUCCGGUGAAAUUUUAAUACCUGUGAAGAUGCAGGUUACCCGCGACAAGACGGAAAGACCCCAUGGAGCUUUACUGCAGCU